AACGAACGCUGGCGGCAUGCCUAACACAUGCAAGUCGAACGAGACCUUCGGGUCUAGUGGCGCACGGGUGCGUAACGCGUGGGAACCUGCCCUUAGGUUCGGAAUACCUCCCCGAAAGGGGUGCUAAUACCGGAUAAUGUCUUCGGACCAAAGAUUUAUCGCCUUUGGAUGGGCCUGCGUUGGAUUAGCUAGUUGGUAGGGUAAAAGCCUACCAAGGCGACGAUCCAUAGCUGGUCUGAGAGGAUGAUCAGCCACACUGGGACUGAGACACGGCCCAGACUCCUACGGAAGGCAGCAGUGGGGAAUAUUGGACAAGGGGCGAAAGCCUGAUCCAGCAAUGCCGCGUGAGUGAUGAAGGCCUUAGGGUUGUAAAGCUCUUUUACCCGGGAUGAUAAUGACAGUACCGGGAGAAUAAGCUCCGGCUAACUCCGUG
RNAcentral lists this ribosomal RNA (433 nucleotides) under uncultured bacterium. RNAcentral describes it as "partial 16S ribosomal RNA". It matches the Rfam family "Bacterial small subunit ribosomal RNA", at positions 29 to 507 of the family's 1533-position model. The record is from RNAcentral.